This 298-nucleotide unclassified non-coding RNA is filed under the name plant metagenome. RNAcentral describes it as "partial contains small subunit ribosomal RNA and internal transcribed spacer 1". The stretch from base 1 to 54 matches the Rfam family "Eukaryotic small subunit ribosomal RNA", at positions 1778 to 1831 of the family's 1831-position model. The record is from RNAcentral.
GGAAGUAAACGUCGUAACAAGGUUUCCGUAGGUGAACCUGCGGAAGGAUCAUUCUUGAUGCCUGCCUUACAGCACUUCUCGCGACCUUAUCCACACUCCCUGGGGCAUCAGCCGUCCUUCCCCGUGCCCUCCAACCCCACUUCCACCCUUGUUCCUUCUCUCUUUAUAUCGAACCUCUUCUCGGUCUCCGCCACUGAACUUCACUUACAGCGCCUCUCCUGUUGCCUCUGACACCAUUCAAGCUCCCGAGGCGACGCCUGUACACACCUAUGACCUCUCUCGGCCCCGGCUAUGUCGG